RNAcentral lists this ribosomal RNA (305 nucleotides) under uncultured bacterium. RNAcentral's name for it is "bacterial SSU rRNA". It matches the Rfam family "Bacterial small subunit ribosomal RNA", at positions 335 to 641 of the family's 1533-position model. The record is from RNAcentral.
ACCUACGGGGCGAGCAGUGAGGAAUAUUGGUCAAUGGGCGCGAGCCUGAACCAGCCAAGUCGCGUGAGGGAAGACGGUCCUAUGGAUUGUAAACCUCUUUUGUCGGGGAGCAAAAGACGCCACGUGUGGCGCUCCGAGAGUACCCGAAGAAAAAGCAUCGGCUAACCCCGUGCCAGCAGCCGCGGUAAUACGGAGGAUGCGAGCGUUAUCCGGAUUUAUUGGGUUUAAAGGGUGCGCAGGCGGAAGAUCAAGUCAGCGGUAAAAUUGAGAGGCUCAACCUCUUCGAGCCGUUGAAACUGGUUUUU